AUUGAACGCUGGCGGCAGGCCUAACACAUGCAAGUCGAGCGAGCGGCGGACGGGGGAGUAAUGUCCGGAAACUGCCUGAUGGAGGGGGAUAACUACUGGAAACGGUAGCUAAUACCGCAUCCCAUCAGAUGUGCCCCGAUGGGAUUAGCUAGUAGGUGGGGUAACGGCUCACCUAGGCGACGAUCCCUAGCUGGUCUGAGAGGAUAACCAGCCACACUGGAACUGAGACACGGUCCGGACUCCUACGGUAGGCAGCAGAGGGGAAUAAUGCACAAUGGGGGCAAGCCUAAUGCAGCCAUGCCGCGUGUGAGAAGAAGGCAUUCGGGUUGUAAAGCACUUUCAGCGGGGAGGCGUUACCCGCAGAAGAAGCAACGGCUAACUCCGUGCCAGCAGCCGCGGUAAUUC
Molecule: ribosomal RNA, 405 nt
Filed under: uncultured bacterium
Lineage: Bacteria
Description: partial 16S ribosomal RNA
Rfam family: Bacterial small subunit ribosomal RNA
Source: RNAcentral